CCAGAGACUAGAGUCACAUCCUGACACAGCUCUUGUCCUGGGGUGCUCGAGUCUUCAGAGAGAAUCUGCUGGUCUUGAUUCCCCAGCGGGGAAUCCAGCAGUGCCCAGUCAGAAACGUGC
Molecule: small nucleolar RNA, 120 nt
Organism: Artibeus jamaicensis (Jamaican fruit-eating bat)
Lineage: Eukaryota; Metazoa; Chordata; Mammalia; Chiroptera; Phyllostomidae
Product: small nucleolar RNA SNORA3/SNORA45 family
Exons: 1
Source: RefSeq, a predicted model, not a curated record